Molecule: transfer RNA, 50 nt
Filed under: Pylaisiadelpha yokohamae
Lineage: Eukaryota; Viridiplantae; Streptophyta; Bryopsida; Hypnales; Pylaisiadelphaceae
Description: partial tRNA-Phe
Rfam family: tRNA
About the family: Transfer RNA (tRNA) molecules are approximately 80 nucleotides in length. Their secondary structure includes four short double-helical elements and three loops (D, anti-codon, and T loops). Further hydrogen bonds mediate the characteristic L-shaped molecular structure. tRNAs have two regions of fundamental functional importance: the anti-codon, which is responsible for specific mRNA codon recognition, and the 3' end, to which the tRNAs corresponding amino acid is attached (by aminoacyl-tRNA synthetases). tRNAs cope with the degeneracy of the genetic code in two manners: having more than one tRNA (with a specific anti-codon) for a particular amino acid; and 'wobble' base-pairing, i.e. permitting non-standard base-pairing at the 3rd anti-codon position.
Source: RNAcentral
GCCGGGAUAGCUCAGUUGGUAGAGCAGAGGACUGAAAAUCCUCGUGUCAA